GAACUAAACAAGGCCUUUGUACAGGUGUACACCACCACACAUGCGCACAGUACUUUACCUACGCUAAUUAUAAUCAACAAAGCUGGUGCUGAUUGUGUGGUUAGCUGUUUUGCAUCCAGCAACACACUUCUCUUCCAGAAAAAAUAAUAAUGUACAUAUACUAUGCUUUUAUAUUAUGUAUAAAUUAACAGCGGAGUACGGUUAUAUUAUCUUAUUAGUGUACGGACUUGAGUUAUAGUACAUGUACUCUUUCCAUUCUAAAUUGCUUUUAUUCCAAAUUGUAAGUUAUUUUGAUUUUUUUUGAGGUACAUAGCUUUUAUCAUGUACCUAGAUCUAGAUAUACAUUGUGUCUAAGGUACAUAGUAGAAAUGUGGGCUUAGGCCUUGUUUAGUUCCUCCCAAAAGCCAAAACUUUUUUAAGAUCUACGUCACAUCGAGUCUUACGACACAUGCUUGGAACAUUAAAUAUAGUUAAAAAAUAACUAAUUACAUAGUUUUUCUGUAAUUUGCGAGACAAAUCUUUUGAGACUAGUUAUUUUAUAAUUGAAUAAUAAUAAUUACCACAUACAAGCGAAAAUGCUACAGUAGCCAACCAAAAUUUCCCCCAACUAAACGAGGCCUUACAAAAAUAAAAUGAAUGAUUUUCAAUAAUUUGGAACAUAGAGUGUUAGAAAACAGCUAGAGUACCUUUCAGGUGGCUAUAUGUUCACGUUGCGUCGCCAAAUGGAUACCGUACGUACCAAUAAUACAUAGCCAUGUAUAAAUAUAAAACUUUGCAUUGUAAUCGUACAUACUGUAGUACAUAUCUGUGUGAAGCCGCCGUAUAGCUGUGCCAAAAAUGACAUUAUAUUGACCUGUUCGGUGUUACCGUUAGCUAGAGUGGAUCAAGUUUGGGGGGUCAGCUGCAUACAGCUCUCUUGUACUACCUCUGUAGGAGUAUCAAUCAAUCAGGUGCGGUGCGGAUCGAGCCAGCCAGCCCCCUAUUUGCCCGGGGCACCGGACGGCCACAGCGGACGCAACACGGCAGGAGGCCGCACGGGAUCCGGACCCACUCCCCCCUACUCCUCCUGUCUUCCAGCCCCGGUCUCCCCUGCAGUCCCCACCGCCUGCGCCUGCGAAAGAUCCCUCCCCCCCACGCUGAUUCGCUCGCCGCCCCGUCCCCUCCCCUCCCCUGCAGGAGCCCCGCCUCCUAUAUAGGGGGUGUGUGCGGCCGCGGCAGCCUGCGCUCGUGGUGUGCCGUGUGCGACAGUCGCCAGCCUGCCCUCCCCGCCUGCUGCCGGCCCGCGCCUGCCCGAAGCCGAGCGCCGGGACGCCGAGGAGAGGCCAGAGGAGAGGCCGGAACGAUGGAGGACAAGGCGUCCAACCUGGACGCCGUGCUCAAGGAGGCCGUCGAUCUCGUACGCGCCAACUCUCUCAUCCUCCUCUCUCUCUCCCUCCACGUUUUGCUUGCCUUUUCCUGCUCUCGCGGUUGCUUCUUGGGCUAUCGUGCCGUCCGUGGGUGCCCGGCGCGGCGCGGCGCCGGCGCGCUGCUGCUGCUGCUGCUUCCCCAGUUCGUGGCGUGCGUGCAUCCCUCGUUCCGCGGAGUUUUCUUGGUGUGAGGCGGAUGUGUGGGGUUUUGCCGUUUUGGUGCCCUGCCGGCUGUCGCUGGCGGUGAACUAGUACCACUCCCUCUUCUUCCUUCCCGUUCGUGCCCCCCCUCCCCGCCUCGAUCUCGUCGGCGGGACUCCCUGAUCUUGUCGGCGGCCGCGCUUUGCCCCCCUCCACCCACUGGGCACUGCUCGAUUCGGCGCUCUGAUUGCGUGAUCUCGCGCUGCGGUUACGCUCGACGCGGCCCAGGUUCUCUCGGUUCUUCUUAGUUCUUCCCAGUUGCUCCACUCCGCUGGUUACUUUUGUUGUUUUUUUUUUCUCCCUUUCCUGCCCCGUUCUUUCUGCUUUUAUUUCUUUUUGUGUGGUUUUCAACGCACCAAUUCUUUAUCUUCUUGGGCGGUUCUUGUCUGUUGACUGAUGAUCCCUCUGCCGCCGCGAUGCUGUUCUUGCGCCCGCGCAGGAGAACAUACCGAUCGAGGAGGUGUUCGAGAACCUGCGAUGCAGCCCGCAGGGUCUCUCCACGGAGCAGGCCGAGCAGCGCCUCGCCAUCUUCGGGCCCAACAAGCUGGAGGAGAAGCAGGUAAAAGGAAUCCGCCCGCCUCUCCCUUGGCCUUUCAUGCGUUUCUGUUCCUGGUGGUCCGCUUACAUGAUGGAUGUGCCUGCAGGAGAGCAAGAUCUUCAAGUUCUUGGGAUUCAUGUGGAACCCGCUGUCCUGGGUCAUGGAGGCGGCCGCCAUCAUGGCCAUCGCGCUCGCGAACGGGGGAGUAAGUACUGAAAUUUCACAUCGUGUGGGCAUGGCAGAGGCGUUCUGGAGACUGGCUUCAGAGGUUUUGAUGUGUUUUCUCUGUUUUUUUCUUCUUUUUUCAGAACAAGCCGCCCGACUGGCAGGACUUCGUGGGGAUCAUUACUCUGCUCAUCAUCAACUCCACAAUCAGCUUCAUUGAGGAGAACAAUGCGGGCAAUGCUGCCGCCGCUCUCAUGGCGCGCCUCGCCCCCAAGGCCAAGGUACUGACAGGAUCUUGUUUGCAGCGUUGUGUUGUUUUUCUGGAGGGUGUGCUGAUUUCUGUUUCGCCGUGAUAAAGGUUCUCAGAAAUGGCCGGUGGACCGAGGAGGAAUCGGCAAUCCUUGUGCCAGGGGACAUCAUCAGUGUGAAGCUUGGGGAUAUCAUUCCGGCUGACGCUCGUCUGCUUGAAGGGGAUCCACUGAAAAUUGAUCAGGUAAUGCAAACUGAAGCUGCUCCCCUCUGUAUGUGGAUUUUUUUGGGUUGAUGUUAAACUGUGCUUCUCCUGACUUUUGAGUUGCUCGCAGUCUGCACUCACCGGCGAGUCCCUUCCGGUGACCAAAGGCCCUGGUGAUGGAGUGUACUCUGGUUCCACUUGCAAACAGGGUGAGAUUGAGGCCGUUGUCAUUGCCACUGGUGUGCACACAUUCUUUGGCAAGGCAGCACAUCUUGUCGAUUCAACAAACCAAGUUGGUCAUUUCCAGAAGGCAAGCUUCUAAUCCUGCUUUUCUGAACUUGCUUACUUUCUUCAUUUGCAAAUUUAUGACGUGACCAAGGACGUCUGUUGUUUCACUAUAUACAGGUUCUCACUGCCAUUGGGAACUUUUGCAUCUGUUCAAUUGCUGUGGGAAUGGUCGUGGAGCUUAUCGUCAUGUACCCUAUCCAACACAGGGGUUACAGACCAGGAAUUGACAACCUGUUGGUGCUUCUGAUUGGAGGAAUUCCAAUUGCCAUGCCCACUGUCCUUUCUGUGACUAUGGCAAUUGGGGCUCAUCGCUUGGCUCAACAGGUAUGAACUUGUCAAUUGGGAAAAUUUUGAUCUUUGUUUCUCAUAUAUCUAAUGUAGGAAUUGAAUACUGAAGUUGUGCUUGGUGGUUUAGGGAGCAAUUACUAAGAGAAUGACAGCAAUUGAAGAAAUGGCUGGCAUGGAUGUUCUUUGCAGUGACAAGACUGGGACAUUAACCUUGAACAAGUUGACUGUGGACAAGAGUCUUGUAGAGGUAGGCUGUUGUUACUAGAAGUUCAAUUUCCUUUCUGUUUAUGGAUCAUUGCAGCCUAACCUGAUCGUUAACUGGUCAGGUUUUCCAAAAAGGCAUUGACCAAGAUACAGUAAUUCUGAUGGCUGCCAGAGCUUCUCGUACAGAAAACCAGGAUGCCAUAGAUGCCACAAUAGUUGGUAUGCUGGCUGAUCCGAAGGAGGUACCCAGAUUCCUCAGGAGUUUGUGAUGUGCAGGCUGCAGCUAAUUUUACUUUUACUCUAACUAUUUCUCUUUUUUCUGCUUGUUUGACAAAAGGCUCGUGCUGGUGUUCGAGAGAUUCAUUUUCUGCCAUUUAAUCCAACUGACAAAAGAACUGCUUUAACCUACCUUGAUGGUGAGGGAAGAAUGCAUCGUGUUAGCAAGGGAGCACCAGAGCAGGUACUGUUUUCCUAAGCACAUAUUGGGAACUCUACAAUUGUGACAAUGAUUUCAAUUAUUAAUAGUGGAAGUUAAACAGAUCCUUCAUCUUGCACACAACAAGUCGGAUAUUGAAAGAAGGGUCAGAGCUGUGAUUGACAAAUUUGCUGAACGUGGUUUGCGAGCACUUGGUGUAGCUUACCAGGUUUGUGAUCCCUGACAUGCACUAUUGCUACUCUCUACAAGGUCUAGGUACUUGACUGACAAAAUUCAUGUACAGGAAGUGCCAGAUGGUAGGAAAGAGAGUCCUGGAGGACCAUGGCAAUUCAUUGGGCUCUUGCCACUUUUCGACCCCCCUCGCCAUGAUAGUGCAGAAACUAUCAGAAGGGCACUCCAUCUUGGUGUUAAUGUCAAGAUGAUUACAGGUUUGUCAUAUUCGUUCCUGUCCACCUUGAGUUUAUUCCUCUAAUCUGAAGUUUCAUCCUCUGAUUCCUUGUUAGCUUGUUGAUAGCAAUAUGUUUCCAGAUUUGGCUAGUGCUACUGAACCACUUUACUGUAAUACUGACUCGGUUUUUCUCCCCUCAGGUGAUCAGCUUGCUAUUGGGAAGGAAACAGCACGUCGUUUGGGAAUGGGUACUAAUAUGUACCCUUCAUCUGCUUUACUCGGACAGAAUAAGGAUGAGUCAAUUGCUUCUUUACCAAUUGAUGAAUUGAUCGAGAAGGCUGAUGGCUUUGCUGGAGUCUUUCCAGGUACAAAUAUGCAGAUUACCUGUUUUUUAUUACUCUUGUUUGAUAGGCUCAACAGUUCUUCAGCAUCUAUAUGCAGUACUUAUGUCUAAUUAAUUUUUUUAUUAUUGCUUGAUAGAACACAAUGUCUAAUUCAUUUUUUUAUUAUUGCUUGAUAGAACACAAGUAUGAGAUCGUGAAACGCUUGCAAGCAAGAAAACAUAUAUGUGGUAUGACUGGGGAUGGUGUAAAUGAUGCCCCAGCUUUGAAGAAGGCUGAUAUCGGUAUUGCAGUAGCAGACUCCACCGACGCAGCUCGUAGUGCUUCUGACAUUGUCCUAACUGAACCAGGCCUUAGUGUGAUUAUUAGUGCUGUGCUGACGAGUCGGGCAAUUUUCCAAAGGAUGAAGAAUUACACAGUACGUCAAUUCUGCAGUUCCUUUUUGAGUCUCUUAGUGUUCCAUUGUGUGCAGUUUUUUUCAAAGUUUAUUCUUGCUUGCAGAUCUAUGCUGUAUCAAUUACCAUCCGUAUUGUGGUAUGUACCUGUACUUAAUUUUUAGAAAAUAAUGCUUGGUUGACUAAUUGGACAAAUAGUUUCUGACCCCUAGAUACUUUUGUUGUAACAGCUUGGUUUUAUGCUUCUUGCUCUGAUAUGGAAGUUUGACUUCCCACCAUUUAUGGUCCUGAUCAUUGCCAUCCUCAAUGAUGGUAAGCAUCCUUUUAGUUGGUUAAUAUAAUUCAUGAUGAGUUAAAUAUGAAGUUAAUCUUUAAUUUGUUCUGUUUAUAUCUACACUCCUUUAGUCAGUGUCAGUAUCAUAUUAGGUUACCUAACAACUUCAACCUCUUGACAUGGAUAGGUACCAUUAUGACUAUCUCAAAGGACAGAGUAAAACCAUCUCCACAACCUGAUAGUUGGAAGUUAGCUGAGAUUUUUGCAACUGGAGUUGUCCUUGGUGGUUAUUUGGCCAUGAUGACUGUCAUUUUCUUCUGGGCAGCGUACAAGACUGACUUCUUCCCGGUAUGGACCAGUAAUUUGUUAAGCAUUAUUGAAGUUUUUGAGGGACCGUUGCAGUUUGUUCAUCCUUAUCAUGGUUGUCAAUUUGCAGCGACUGUUCCAUGUUGAAAGCCUUGAGAAGACUGCCCAGGAUGAUUUUCAGAAGCUUGCGUCCGCUGUGUACCUUCAAGUUAGCACAAUCAGCCAGGCCCUUAUCUUUGUGACACGGUCUCGCAGCUGGUCAUUUGUGGAGCGCCCUGGGUUCUUGCUUGUCUUUGCUUUCUUGGUGGCGCAGCUGGUGAGUCAUCUGAAUCCAGUUUCAUGCCUUACUGCCAUGUUGUCUUUCUGUGUCUCGUCUUGCUCACAUUGUGUCAUGUUUUGCAGAUUGCUACUCUGAUCGCUGUAUAUGCCAACUGGGCAUUUGCUUCGAUCAAGGGCAUUGGAUGGGGCUGGGCCGGUGUCAUCUGGCUCUACAACCUCGUCUUCUACUUCCCGCUGGAUAUCAUCAAGUUUCUCAUCCGUUAUGCGCUGAGUGGGAGAGCAUGGAAUCUCGUCCUUGAGCAGAGGGUAAGAACACACACAUAAGAGAAUGAUUGUUGACUUCCAAUGUUCAGUUUUCUGACUGUCAAAAAUGCGCACUCAUCUGUGCUUGUUGUUGCCUGCCAAAUGUGUGUUAAUCAUCUGUUUUGCUGGCAUACACAUUUAGAUUGCAUUCACAAGCAAGAAGAAUUUCGGUACGGAAGAAAGGGAGCGCAAGUGGGCGCACGCUCAGAGGACUCUCCAUGGCCUCCAGCCACCUGAGGCAUCCAUCUUCGAGAACAAGACGACCUUCAACGAACUGAACCAGCUCGCGGAAGAGGCCCGUAGGAGAGCCGAGAUGGCGAGGUACAUGCUAUUUCAGAGCUUCUGGAUAUCCCAUCUAGCCCAAGUGUAGAUUUCUCGAGCGUUUCCACUGAAUGUGACAAACCUGACUUGCCCUGCCCCCGUCUGAUUUUGUUACAGGUUGCGAGAAGUGAGCACCCUGAAGGGGAAGAUGGAGUCGGUGGUGAAGCAGAAGGGUUUGGACAUUGAGACCAUCCAGCAGUCCUACACCGUGUGACUGACGGAUCAUACAGGCACGAUUAUAGAGGCGGUUUCUUCUUACUAUAUAUAUAUGUGGUUAGGGGAGCAAUAAUAAGGAUUAAGGAACCAACCCUACAUAUGACUGGUUCGCGAGGAUGAUGAUGAUAUAUUUACGAUGCCGGUGUGGUGCUCUGUCGCCAACACACCAUAGCCGCCCUCACUCACCCCUAUAUGCUGUGCAUUAUUAACCACCCCCGGCAGGCAUUGAGAUUGAGAUGAGAGAUAUAUGCUCUGUUGUAGCCCUUAGUAGACGAUGUUGAUGAUACAAUACAUUUUUGCUUGUUAUUAUAUCUAUUAUUAGCCUUUGCUCCCUGGUUCUGGUUCUGCUCUGCGUGUUUUGAUGCUGCUGCUGGUUUUGUUGUUCCUGAUUUCCUAAAUCUGAUGAAGUGGUAGCAAUAGAACUGCAUAUCUGCAUAGGCAUGUGCCAUGAGCUUAGCAUGUGCGGUGUUACCGUUGCAGCAUGGGCAGCAUCAGUUGCUCACAUGCCCCAGAGAUGGUGUCAUGGUGUUGGGUGUGGUUUGUGAGGCCGCUAUGGUCGCAGUUGAAUUGAAUUCAUGGCAUGAGAGGGUGUCGGGGUGUGAUCUGCUCGCCUAGUUGUUAAAAAAUGGCCUGAUGCUAUCUGGUCCUGGUGAACCAUGUGCAAGUCCUUGCUCAUAAUGGCCGUCCAGCAUCGUUGCCUACUUGCCUUGUUGGGUAUCGACAGGCACAGUACGGCCGCCUGCCGCGUCACAGGUUGGAUGGCGGGACGACGGUUCCUGCACAACGUGGCCGGCUAGUGUCAGAGAUUCAGUGACCGAUCCCGUGGAAACCCCAUGGGCCGGGCCAGGCAUAAGCAAACUCUGGAAAAAAUCUACUUUUUCUCCCUCAACUUUCAUAAAAGUCUACUUUUACUCCUUUAAUUUCAAAACCAGACAAAUUACCUCAACUUUUCAAACCGUACAUUCUACCUUCCUGGAGCCGUUUCGAAGGCAGUUUUGCUAUAGUAAACAGUGGUUUUGCUAUAGGAACGGUGGUUUUGUCUUUUUGUUUUUUUUAUUAUUCCGACUGAAUAUUUGGAAAACCAUAGUAAAUCAUAUAAAUAUCAUAAAAUAAAAAAUCCAAUUUUAUUGGACUCCACACAAGUAGAUCUACACAAUGAACAUAUAAUAUGAUAUAUUAUAUUAUAUGUUUACUAUGUAGAUAUACUUAUAUGGAAAAAUCAUAAAAUAGAAAAUACAUAUAAUUUAUUUUGCUGUUUAUAUGUUUAUAUAUGUUUACUAUGUAGAAAAAUCAUAAAAUAGAAAAUACAUAUGAUUAUUUUGUCAGACUAAAACAUACAUAUAUUAUAUGUUCAUUUUUUUGUCGGACUAAAGCAUAUCAUUAUAUGUUUACUAUGUAGAUAUACUUAUGUGGAGUCUAAAAAAAAAUAGAUUUUAUAUUUUAUGAUUUUUUCUAUGAUUUACUAUGAUUUUUUAAAGAUUCAGCCAAAAUAAUUAAAAAAAGACAAAAACACCAUUACUAUAGCAAACCAAUAUUUACUAUAGUAAAAUCGCUUUCAUAACCGCUAUAGGGAGGUAAAAUGCACGGUUUGUAAAGUUAAGGGAGGUGAUUUGCCAGAUUUUGGAAUUGAGGGAGGAAAACAGACUUUCGUGAAAGUUGGGUAAGAAAAGUAGACUUUUUUCCAGCAAACUCCAAUGUGUGGAAUACUCACCGACGGCCAGCCCAUGGAGCAAAUGUCGCAAGGAAGCCCAAGUCAGCAGCUAGGCCUGGAUGGGUCGCCGCGGCUGUUCUUCCAGCCUGCCAGUGCCCAGGCUCACAGGCCUGGACCAUACCUGGCCCAUAUGCCCCUGCGAGGCCCGGAGAAUAAUAAUAAUAAUAAUAAUAAUAAUAAUAAUAAUAAUAAUAAUAAUAAUAAUAAUAAUAAACACGCCAAAAUCUCCCAACGCGCGCUGCCGUCCACACAACACAACCACACGCUGCCCACCAUAUCCUCUCUACUCCCACUCCCCGUCCAAAACCUCUCCACCAACCCCGCCCCCCCCCCCCCCCCCCCCCCCGGCCGGGACACCGGCGCGCACCAUGCGCCGCGCCACGCCCACGCCUCGCCUCCUCGUCGUCGCACCAUGCCGCCCCUCGCCGCGCCAGCCUCCUCCAUCCCCGCCGCCCCGCCGCAGGGCACCUCUACCGACGCCCGCUCCGCCGUCAACCUCCUGCGCUCCCUCGCGCGCGCGCGGCGCGCGGACCUGUCCCACCGCGCGCUGCUCCUCUUCCGCACGCUCCACGCCUCCGACACCCCGCCGCCGCCGCGGUACUCCCUCCCGCCCGCGCUCUCCGCGGCCGCCUUCCUCGCCGCGCUCCCGGAGGGCCGCCAGCUGCACGCGCUGGCCGCCAAGCUCGCGCUCCUCGCGCCCGCGCACAACAACACCGUCGUCGUCGUCGUCGCCAACUCGCUCGUCCACCUCUACGCCUCCUGCGGCCGCCCGGACGCCGCGCUCGCCGUCUUCCGCGGGGUCCCGGACCGCGACAGGUCGCUCGUGUCGUGGAACACCGCCGUCGACGCGCUCGCGGGCAACGGGGACCACCUCGCGGCGCUCGACCUGUUCCGGGAGAUGCAGCGCGACAGGCCCGACCUCGCGCCCGACGCAUACACGCUGCAGAGCGUGCUCGGUGCCUGCGCCGCCGCCGGCGCGCUCUCGCUUGGGCUCUACGCGCACGCGCUGCUGCUCCGGGAGCUCGGCGCCGACGCGUCGGCGGCGGUGUCGCGCGACGUGCUCAUCAACAACUCGCUCGUCGACCUCUACGGCAAGUGCGGCGCGGUGGAGCUCGCGCGCCAGGUGUUCGACCGGAUGCCCGAGCGGGACCUCGCGUCCUGGAACGCUAUGGUCCUCGCGCUCGCCAACCACGGUCGCGUCCGGGACUCGCUCGACCUGUUCGACAGGAUGACGAGGGUGGAGAACGUGAGGCCAAAUGCGAUCACCUUCGUCGCGGUGCUCAGUGCCUGCAACUACGGUGGGCUGGUGGAGGAAGGCAGGAGGUACUUUGCUGCCAUGGUCAGCGAGUACGGGAUCAGGCCGAGGAUCGAGCACUACGGGUGCUUGGUCGACAUCCUUGCGCGGGCGGGGUUCAUUGAGGAGGCCCUUGAUGUCGUGGCUGGGAUGAACUGCCGGCCAGAUUCCAUCAUCUGGAGGAGCCUGCUCGAUGCAUGCUGCAAGAGGAAUGCUGGGCUGGAGCUCAGUGAGGCAAUGGCCAAGCUCGCGCUUGAUGUCCCUGAUGAUGCUGUGAGCGGCGUCUACGUCCUGCUCUCGAGGGUCUAUGCAUCCGCGCAGCGGUGGAAUGAUGUGGGCAUGAUCCGGCGGUUGAUGAGCGAAGAGGGUUUCAAGAAGGAGCCCGGGUUCAGCUCCAUUGAAAUGGAUGGAUCGGUGCACCAGUUUGUCGCGGGUGACACUUCGCAUCCUCAGUCGGAAGAGAUAUACGAGAAGCUGGAUGAGAUUCAGCAGAGGCUCACGUCUGCUGGAUACAAGCCGGACUUAUCGGAGGCGCCUAUGGUCGCCGACAUCGAUCGCACCAAGGGCGCCACCCUGCGUUUGCACAGCGAACGGCUAGCCAUAUCCUUUGGUCUGCUGAACGUGACACCCGGGGCACCCAUCCGGAUUCUGAAGAACCUUAGAGUGUGCAAAGACUGCCACACCAUCAGCAAGCUCAUAUCAAAGCUAUACGAUGUAGAAAUCAUUGUGAGGGAUCGAAUUCGGUUUCAUCACUUCAAGGGUGGAUCAUGUUCUUGCAAAGAUUACUGGUGAUCCUUGAGCUAUGAUGACCCGUGAUGCUAUCUGGACAAAUAUUCUGAAGAGAUCAUUCUUGUGAGGGAUCGGAUUCAAUUCCAUCAAUUCAAGGAUGGAUCAUGUUCUUGCAAAGACUACUGGUGAUCCUUGAACCAUGAUGACCUGUGAUGCUGUCUGGAGGUGAGUGCCAUUUUAAGUGCUGACGGCUACAGUGACCUUCAUCUUUAAGCCGGGAGAAAAAUGACCGGUUGUUGUUUAGUAAGUUGUGAAUUAAAUGGUUUUGUUCACCAUGUUACUGAUUAUAGAAGCUCAUUUGAGCGUUUUUCUUUGAUCUAACGUAGUAACUCGAACUCAAUGUAUUCCAGUGGAUCAGUUCUUCACACGCAUUGCAAUUUGAAAUCUUGCCAAUCCAAGAAUUGCUAGUCACCUGUAUUGUUGGCAUAUCUGGGAUUGACGAAUUCGUCCGACGACAGAUAUGCCGUGUUGUCCCCACGCUCCACUCCCCAGCACUAUUUUGCUAGCUGUUGCAACAUUAGUGUCCUGAGCAGAGCAGUGUCCUCAUCCUCACUUAGGUGUGUACUCAACAUCCACUGUGUGCACAAUAAUCGGACUCCUAACCUGACGCACACCAUCAGACCACACGACAGCAGCCGACACGAACUCGUUGGCAUCCGGCAGGGCUCCGGAGACCGUCACGGUGAAAGACACCUUCUGAAGCAGCCUGCUGAACGCCAGCCUCCUCGGCUUGACGGCGACUCUGAUGUAUGGCCCCAAGCCAGCGAUCUUGGCGGUGUACACGGAGCCCGGCGCCCCGACGUUGGUGACGGUGCGCGGGAAGUGGACGGUGAAGUUCUUACCCGGCUUGGCGAGGUGCGCCAUCGUCGGGUAGUUGAGGUCGGCGGCGCUGCCGCUGCCGCUGGUCGCCGCGGCAUGGCAGGCCGUGGCGUCGGAGCCGGUGACGGCGCGGAGCUGCGUGGAGUUGUACCCCUCCGCGCACAGCAUGCGGACGUAGUCGUCCUCGCGCGCGUCGUAGACGAGGCCCGGGUCGUGCGCCCGCGACGGGUUCAGCUGCCCGGCGCCGUAGACGAGCUCGCCGCCGCCCGGGUUGCGCGACGGGUCCAUCGGCGUAGCUUCACGCAGGCAUGUCCAAUGGAUUAUUUACUUCUCUUGGAAGGAUCACUAGUACGUGCAUUGUUGAAUUCGAUGCAAGAUAUAUACCUGUUGUGAUGAGAGCUGACAUGAUCAUCGCCGGCGACCAGUCGGGGUGGAAGGACUUGAUGUACGCCGCGACGCCGGUGGCGUGGGGGCACGCCAUGGACGUGCCUGAGAUGAUGCUGUACGGCGCGAACCUGUUGUCCUUGAGGUUGCCCGACACCGGCGACAGCGGCGUCCAUGCUGCCAGGAUGUCGAUCCCCGGCGCAGACAGGUCGGGCUGCAGGUUAAUUUCAGGGGUAAACAAAACGUCACGUAUGGAUGACCUACACAACACCAUCAUCAGUAUUGGUCUUUGUUGAUUGUGAUUUACUAGUCGAUGUUAACAACCUUGAGAAUCCCUGGACUGAUCAAGUUUGGCCCUCUAGAUGAGAAGGAGGCGACGAUGGGCGCCUUGGAGUCGAAGGCCGUCUCGGUGCUGCGUAUCGUGCCCACAGGGUUGCUGCAGAAACAUAGCAAAGCAAGCAUUGUUCAGCACACAUAGCAACAAAUGCCACAGAAUCUUCGUUCUUGUUGCCUGAGGGAAUCGAUCGAGCUAAGUCGUCGCACCGUGUCUUGUUGAAGUAUGCCAUGAUUUUGGUGAAUUGGUCCGUACUAAUCGUCAGGGCAGGGAGGGGCAGCAGGAAGGCGACGUCGUGAGCGCCGCUGACGAUGACUGCGCCGGCGGCGCCAGCAGCGAGAGGGCCCGUGCCGUCACUUCCACUCGCGCAGAGAAGGAUCUUUCCCCUGUAUGAUUGUCCGGCCAGUAAUUCCGGUUUGCAGGAGCUGCAAUGCAGACAGAGUUCAUGGUAAAUUGGAGUUACUGAACCAUUGUCCAUUAACAGAAACACUGCUUCAUACAAGCUGUUUUUGGAUUAAUUAAUUAUGUACCCGUUGAUGUUCAUCGGCAGGACGAGCGGGGCUUUCUUUAGAUCAGGGAAGAUGUUAACGGAGGCUCCCUGUGCCACACAAGAACAUGAUCACCAUCGCAAAGAAUUUCAUGUUACGCAACGAUUUCCCAAAAGGAUCAAAUCGGUGCAUGGUGUACAGAGGCUCACCACAAUGGUCUUGCCGUUGCCGAGGACAAGCUUGCCGACGAGUCGACGAUCGGUGCUGCUCGCGGCGACGGACAGCAUCCAUGGCGCGACAUUGUCGACGCGGCCGCCGUCGAGCGCGGAGUUGCCGGCCGCGGCGGAGGUGAGCACCCUGCGCCUCAUGGCGUGGAACGCCCCGAUGGCCGGCGCGUCCUCGAAGUAGGGCGCCGGGAGCUUUCCCCCGAUGGAGAAGGAGAUGAGGUCGACGCCGUCGGCGACGGCGUCGUCGAACGCGGCCAGCAUGUCCUCGCUGCGGCAGAAGUCGUCCCAGCACACCUUGUAGACGGCGAGCCUGGCGCCCGGCACCGCGCCGCGCGCCGAGCCGGCGGCCAGGCCGCCGAGGUCGACGCCCUCCACCACACGCCCGCCCACCGUCGACGCCGUGUGGGUGCCGUGGCCGGCGGUGUCCACCGCCGACAGGGUCGUGUAGCCUCGCCUGUACGCGCGGGCGCCGAUGAUCUUGCUGUCAAGUGUCAAGAGUAUCAUUUUGUGUCAAGCAACCAGCAGUGGCACACGAUAAGAGCACGACGCGGUGGCGAACGUACUUGUUGCAGGUGAAGUUGUGGCAGACGCCCUUCCACCGGCUCGGCGGCGGGCCGAAGCCCUCGUCGGAGAAGGACGGGGAGUCCGGCCACACGCCGGUGUCGAUCAUGCCGACGAUGACCUCCGCCUCCGUGGGCAGGCUCCGGGGGGCCGUCUCGGGGAAGCCGAGGAAGUCCCAUGAUCUGGUGGUCUGGAGGUGGUACGUCCGGCUUGGGAAGACGGACACCACGCCCUCCUUGCUUGACAGCUUCCGCUUCUCCUCCUCGGUCAGCCUGGCCGCGAAUCCAUUGAUGCUCCUCGUGUAGCUGUAGAUGAUCCUGUCCAUAGCGUCGCUGCAGAAUGCCACGCAGAAGCCGUCAGGGUUUUUUUUUGUUUUUUUUUUUGUUUUUGCAGUACUGCCUUGUUGUCUGACUCUAGCUAGAGCCGUUUGAUGUUUACACAUAAAGAAAUUUAUUUCAGAAUUGAAAUUUAUUUCUACCCAAAGGAUUUUUUUUACCCAUUUGGAUCCUUAGAAUUGAAGUCCAUUCUAAUAAUUAUAAUUUAUAUGCACAAAUAAAUUAAGUUAAUAUUAUUGUGUUCGGAACAUAUCUAUAUACUAUUGUUUAAUAAAAUGAAAACUAACUCGAUUAUGCAGGUAAUUUUCAGAGGAGCAUAUUGGUUACGCUCUUGGGCCCAGCUACAGCGUGACGAGACAGCCAAGGACGCCCUCUCAAUGAUGAGCAAGAAAUUAGAAAUAAUUGCUUUAGAGAUUUCCAAUAGGAGUUGGAACAUUUAUACUGUUUGCUUUAGCGUCCUGGUCAAUUUAUAAGACUAUGACUUUUACUGUGAUUCUCUCAAACUCUGUAAUAAUUGGCUGUGUACAUCUCUAGAUGUAGAGGCCGGAUAUUUGUUUAUCCAUUAUCUAAAAAAAUAUGAGGGAAUUCCCAUAUGAGAGAGGUAUUUAUGUGCUGUUGUAGAAUUACAAGUCGAAGGGUUGUUGCUACAAUGACGUUUCCAACAAGGUAGCUUAGAGCUGGCUUCGUGCUGACAUGGAGAAGAGAGACACCAAAAGCCGCUCGCUAGAGAGAUAACAAAAUCUAGUCUUGCAAGAGACCCGACGCUCACCCUCUCACAGCUUGUGUUAGUAGGCUUUGAUGUCGUAUUUGUUUUUUUUUCUUGCUUGUCUCUCUUACAUGUCAGCUGGCUCUUCGAAAAGGCUGUUGCAUAUGCUCUAAGUUGUAGAGUAGAAAUAUAUCAUGGUGCUUUAUAGAAUCAAUUUUCAUUUCUCAUUCUAUGACUUUAAGAUAGACUUAUAUCUGACCAUUGGAAAGUUGUCGAAUGUUAAUUUCCAAGCCAAAUAACCUAAUCUAUUAAAUAGCUUUCAUUUCCACUAAAAUGAGAGGAUCCAAAUGCCCCCUAAAUGUUUCUACGUUUGCAACUGUUAGGAAACUAAAGAGUAAUGUUCAAUUGAACCUCUAAAAAGCUGUCGCUAUUUCGACAACACUCUCGAACUUAAAAUAAUCCAUUGGUUCCUUAGAUGGUUUUGUUGACGUGGUGGUGGGUCUAGGUCAGAUGGUAUCUGCCUUUAUGUUAUUUAAAGUUAUAUUUUUUGUGUGAAGUUUGAUAUAUACAAACUUUAUAUCAGAAUGUUAGAGCUCAAUGUUAUCUAAAACUUUAUAUUUGCCAACUUUUUAUUUAUAAUAUUUUAGAGGCUCAAAUAUUCAUUCCAUGUUAUUAGAUUUUGAAAUUCAAAAUUUUGAAUUUUUGGAAUGGCCCAUGAUAUUGAAAUGGUAUAUAAAGUUGUAGAUGUCAAUGGUAGACACAACUUGUUUUUGACAUUUUUUUAUCUUUGAUAAUUUAAAGGCUCAAAUGUUCAUUUUUAAGUUAUCAGAUUUUAAAAUUCAAUUUUGAACUUCUUUGAAACGAUCUUGGAUUUGGACAUAGUCUAUAACAAAAUUAUAGCUCUCAACUUGAUAUAUAUACAACUUUGUUGUUGCAACCUUUUUUAUCUGAGAUCAUUUGGAGGCUCAAAUGUUUUUUUAUGUUCUUGAUUUUGAAAUCCAAUGUGUUUUGAAUUUUUCAAAUGACCUUGGAUGCCGACAUGCUAGAUACCAAAGUUGUAGCUCCAAAUGCAACUUACAACUUUGUAGUUGAUACAAUUUUUAUAUGAAAUCUUUUAGAGACCCAAAUAUUUAUUUAAAUUUCUCACAUUUUAAGAUUCUUUUUUGCUAAUUUUUGAAAUGUCCUUGGACAUUGUUGAAAACAUCUUUACUUGAGACCAUGUAGAUGUCCAAAUAUUCAUUUUCAAACGAUCACUGGUGGAGAUACGUACGCUCUACGCCGAAUUUGUAUUGCUUGAAGAGAUCUAGAACUUUCUACUUGAUUUUGUUUUUCCAUUUAAGACCAUUUAAGACCCCAAAUAUUCAAUAUAAGAUGGCACAGUCAAAUAUAUGUGGCUUAUCAGUUAUCACUGGGAAUGAAUGGCCUGACCUGCCAUCGUCGAGGACCUUGUUGAGCAGGCCGUGAUGAGCAGCUUUUGCUGCAGAGAAGCCACCAGCCAGUAACUCUGACGGCUCAUGCUGAUGACCCAUGUACACGAUGUACACCUGCACAAGUACAUACACAUUAUAUAUAAGUUCUUGCUCCAUCGAUCAGGAGCUCGAUGCAUUCGCACGAUCGAGUUGAUGAUCGCACGGACUAGAUCUCAGGGAUCGUCGUACUGACCUGCUGCGGCCCUUCAUCGCCAUGGCUGCUGACCUCUGAAGCAUGCGAGCUGCCGAGGAAGAAGCAGCAGACAGCAAGAACGCAUAGGGAGAGUGCCUUGAACACGGUGCUCAUAUUCCAAAUUCGGCAGUAUACGCGUGGAUGCUGGAUUGGAUGUGCACGCGUGUGGGGCUUUUUUUGUAUGCCACAUGCGUAGAACCGGUCGUGAGGUUCCUUGGAUAAAUCGACUCAUACACUCCCCGUCCACGUAAUGGUUUAGGAUCUCUGCAUAUCUACCUCGUUUUCACCGCAGUGUUUUGUUUCAUUGUCUGAGUCUGACGGUGAGUUCGGGGACACUAGAGUGGAUCAUUCCUCGCUUGGUUUAUAAUUUCGACGUUUUGCUGAAAUGGAAUGGUCAAACAAAACAUUCUUUUAAUGAUUCAGAACAUAGGCCAACUUGUGCACUGAUUAAGAAGAUAGGAGAACUACAUGUGUAAGCAGUGCCAAUAGCUUUCCAGGAUUGACAGACUGUCGAGCUGGGCAAACAAAUGUAGAGAUACCUUGCAUUAGGUUUGUUAUGACGAUAUUAUAUGAUAUAGUCUCACCUCUUUUCUCUUCCAGGUUUACCUGAUGUGUUCGGCUAUUAUUAGUCGAUUUUGUUGUACUUAUACCUGUUCUAAGCAAUGUGUGUGUGUAGCCAAGCUAUGCAGUAAUAUUUUUUAAUUAGUCUCAUCCAAUCUUCUAUAUGUUCUUCUUUCUAAUUUCUUCAUGCAUGUCCUUCUUCACUUUUCUAUAUUUUUCUCUUCUCCUGCCUGUCAACCUCGUGCUAUCUCUCAUUCUGUAUUGGGUCAUCACACCCGUACAAAUGCAUGCCCAUGCAUGUAUAUGCUGUCAUGCAGCAAAAGCUGUAGUUUCUCCAUCCAAAAAGAAUGUAAAUCUCGAAAAAAAAAAUCUUAAAUUUGAUUUAAGUUUGUAAGUUGUGCCAUACAGGGCGCCCAGCAGUUGGACACUUGGAUGAGCGCCAAGCCCCCCUGCGUUGUUUCGUGCACAAGGCUACGGAGCAAGCAAUGGCAAUAAUGCACGCUGCAAGCUGAUGCACGCCUGCUCACAUCCUAUAUAUCGUGAGUUGCACACACAUAUGUAUUGCCCACACGAGUGUUCGUUUCGUUCCUGGAGCAGCGCGCUGCACCAAGGCUUCCAACACCGUGUCGGAUACCAUAUAUAUGCAUGGCUCGUCCCAGAACACAGCCGCGCUAGCUGCUUCUCCUCGUCCUCACUGUCGUCUUCGCCGCGAGCCUGAGCGCGUUCUGAAUCCAUCAGGGACGGAGGCAAAGAUAGAGAUCAUCGAUUCAUCGGCAAUUCAUGCAUGCAUGGUCUGCAUGGAUCUACGAAGUUUUAUCUCAUCUACUCCCUCCAUCCCAAAUUUGUAAACCGUUUGACUUUUUUAACCUAAGUUUGACCACUCAUCUUAUUUAAAAGAUUUGUGUAAAUAUAGUCAAAUUUAAAUUAUUCUUAAAGAAUUUUUAUUAAUAAACCAAUACAAGAUAAAAAAGUAAUAUUUUGUACAAAUUUUCGAAUAAAACGAAUGAUCAAAUUUGAUAUAAAAAAGUCAAACAACUUACAAUUUGGAAUGGAUUAAGUAUUUAAUUGAUGGUGAUCAUAUAAGCAAGCAGGUCUACAUCGUGUACCUGGGGCACCUACCUAGCACGGAUGCGUCGUCAGAGCCUGAAGGUUCCUCUGCUGUAGAGUUUACUCAUCACGACCUGCUGAACCAGGUCCUGGACGAUAUAUAUAAUCCCCAAUGAUGCAUGCAGCCACUCCGAUGAACACACCGCCGGGAAACUCCAACACGACCGCGCUCAAGUACGGCGCCGGCGGGGAAUAAUAACUUCUCCGUGGUCUUCCCGCGCACUGCCACCUAGGUCGGGGCUGCGGCCGCCGUGUAUAUAUGACGUGAUGGUCGUGUUUGAGGCAUAGUUAUUAG
RNAcentral lists this long non-coding RNA (18076 nucleotides) under Sorghum bicolor (sorghum). Its description in RNAcentral is "long non-coding RNA (SBIC_LNC002000)". Lineage: Eukaryota; Viridiplantae; Streptophyta; Magnoliopsida; Poales; Poaceae. The record is from RNAcentral.